AUUGAACGCUGGCGGCAGGCCUAACACAUGCAAGUCGGACGAGUGGCGGACGGGUGAGUAAUGCUUGGGAAACUGGCUGAUGGAGGGGGAUAACUACUGGAAACGGUAGCUAAUACCGCGUACCAUCGGAUGUGCCCAAAUGGGAUUAGGUAGUGGGUGGGGUAAUGGCUCACCAAGGCGACGAUCCCUAGCUGGUCUGAGAGGAUGACCAGCCACACUGGAACUGAGACACGGCCCGGACUCCUACGGGAGGCAGCAGUGGGGAAUAUUGCGCAAUGGGGGCAAGCCUGAUGCAGCCAUGCCGCGUGAAUGAAGAAGGCCUUCGGGUUGUAAAGUUCUUUCAGCGAGGAGGCGUUAAUCACAGAAGAAGCACCGGCUAACUCCGUGCCAGCAGCCGCGGUAAUUC
RNAcentral lists this ribosomal RNA (406 nucleotides) under uncultured bacterium. RNAcentral's name for it is "partial 16S ribosomal RNA". It matches the Rfam family "Bacterial small subunit ribosomal RNA", at positions 30 to 526 of the family's 1533-position model. The record is from RNAcentral.